RNAcentral lists this non-coding RNA (230 nucleotides) under Edaphobacillus lindanitolerans. Its description in RNAcentral is "T-box sequence". It matches the Rfam family "T-box leader". From Rfam's summary of the family: Uncharged tRNA acts as the effector for transcription antitermination of genes in the T-box leader family. T-boxes are found upstream of many aminoacyl-tRNA synthetase genes and some amino acid biosynthetic genes usually in Gram-positive bacteria. The record is from RNAcentral. Lineage: Bacteria; Bacillati; Bacillota; Bacilli; Caryophanales; Bacillaceae.
CGAAAAACAUUGAGCGGGAAGAGUAGACGUCCCCAUCUGCCGACAGGGAGCCUGCGCCAUUGACUGGAAGCGCGGGCGGCCGGAUGCCGUCGAAGUUCACCCCGCUAGUUGCCGCCGGGACCAGCAGCUGCUGUAAAGGCGGGCCGGCGAACAGGCCGUUAUCCUGUCCGAGUGGCCGCAAGUGUCUGCGGCAAUCAGGGUGGUACCGCGAAUUCAGCCUCGUCCCUUUU